This 96-nucleotide ribosomal RNA is filed under the name Candidatus Pelagibacteraceae bacterium. The record is from RNAcentral. Lineage: Bacteria; Pseudomonadati; Pseudomonadota; Alphaproteobacteria; Candidatus Pelagibacterales; Candidatus Pelagibacteraceae.
UGGCGGUCAUAGCGGAGUGAAAAAAACCCGAUCCCAUUUCGAACUCGGUCGUGAAGGCCUCCAGCGCCGAUGGUACUUAGUCUUAAGGCUUGGGAG